GGGCUGGUAAGCUCAGUCAGUUGAGCGUGGUGCUAACAGCGCCAAGGUCGUGGGUUUGAUUCCCGUUCGGUCCC
This 74-nucleotide transfer RNA is filed under the name Apaloderma vittatum (bar-tailed trogon). It matches the Rfam family "tRNA". Rfam says of the family: Transfer RNA (tRNA) molecules are approximately 80 nucleotides in length. The record is from Rfam by way of RNAcentral. Lineage: Eukaryota; Metazoa; Chordata; Aves; Trogoniformes; Trogonidae.